This is a long non-coding RNA of Xiphophorus maculatus (southern platyfish), 677 nucleotides long. RefSeq lists it as uncharacterized. The record is from RefSeq and is a predicted model, not a curated record. The transcript is spliced from 3 exons. NCBI's taxonomy places the organism in Eukaryota, Metazoa, Chordata, Actinopteri, Cyprinodontiformes, Poeciliidae.
UGGAGUUCCUUUGUUUUUAAUUUCCCACCCUUCCUGUUACGGUGAAGUGGAGUUGUUAGCUAAAUCUGAUCUAGCGAUGCUUGUGCGUUUUACUCUGAUACUCAGAGGCAUUGUUGGUUGGACUCAUUAACUGCAAGUUGUUCAAGUCGUGUGGCUCACGUCACCUCCUCUCCGCCACUGUUCUUCACUGCUGGUAUGCUGUGCUUGGUUUCCUCUGAACAUCAGACUAAGGAUUGAUGGGUGUGUUUGUGUAUGCGCAUACAUAUAAUAGCUUCUUAGUGAGUAACAUUUUCUCUUUGUUUCAUAUUCCUUUCAAACUAUUAUAUAAAUACCUGUUUGGCAAGUUUGGCUAAAAGAAAACUGACAAAAGGGAAAUCAUAGAGGCGAGCAAGCACAGAUUCUUGCUUCAUGCUGACAAGAGAGAGACCUGUGUGCGCGAGGAGUGAGACCUGAUAUGGGAAAUAAACGAACGAUAAUUCAAGGCGUGUGCGUACCUGCCAAACCUGAAAUGUGUAUACUGGGCUAAACAGCCCUUAGAGCAGGAAGGUUCAGGUUGAGCUCAAUGAACAGACCACACGGUGGAGGAUUCUUCCUCUCAUUGGGUCGGGGAGCGAUGCUUCGCUGGGUCGUGCUUGCUUUGUUCAUCAGCCUCUGUGCCAUUGCUGAGGCACAGAAUA